This 200-nucleotide ribosomal RNA is filed under the name uncultured bacterium. RNAcentral's name for it is "partial 16S ribosomal RNA". It matches the Rfam family "Bacterial small subunit ribosomal RNA", at positions 1302 to 1500 of the family's 1533-position model. The record is from RNAcentral.
AGUCUGCAACUCGACUACAUGAAGCUGGAAUCGCUAGUAAUCGCGAAUCAGAAUGUCGCGGUGAAUACGUUCCCGGGUCCUUGUACACACCGCCCGUCACACCAUGGGAGUUGGGAAUGCCCGAAGCCGGUGACCUAACCGAAAGGGAGGAGCCGUCGAAGGCAGGCUUGAUAACUGGGGUGAAGUCGUAACAAGGUAUC